RNAcentral lists this ribosomal RNA (460 nucleotides) under uncultured bacterium. RNAcentral's name for it is "partial 16S ribosomal RNA". It matches the Rfam family "Bacterial small subunit ribosomal RNA", at positions 338 to 795 of the family's 1533-position model. The record is from RNAcentral.
CCUACGGGUGGCAGCAGUGAGGAAUAUUGGUCAAUGGACUCACGUCUGAACCAGCCAUGCCGCGUGCAGGAAGACGGCUCUAUGAGUUGUAAACUGCUUUUGUCCGAGGGUAAAUCCCGAUACGUGUAUCGGGUUGAAAGUAUCGUACGAAUAAGGAUCGGCUAAAUCCGUUCCAGCAGCCGCGGUAAUACGGAGGAUUCAAGCGUUAUCCGGAUUUAUUUGGUUUAAAGGGUUCGUAGGCGGUUCGCUAAGUUAGACGUGAAAUCCCGGGGCUCAACUCCUGCACUGCCUCUGAUACUGGCGGGCUAGAGUGUAGUUGCGGGAGGCGGAAUGUAUGGUGUAGCGGUGAAAUGCAUAGAGAUCAUACAGAACACCGAUUGCGAAGGCAGCUGACCAAACUACGACUGACGUUGAGGCACGAAAGCGUGGGGAGCAAACAGGAUUAGAUACCCUUGUAGUC